AGCCAGACUCCUACGGGAGGCAGCAGUAGGGAAUAUUGCUCAAUGGGGGGAACCCUGAUGCAGCGACGCCGCGUGGGUGAAGGAGCGUUUCGGCGCGUAAAGCCCUAUCGGCAGGGAAGAAGGAGGACGGUACCUGACUAAGAAGCCCCGGCUAACUACGUGCCAGCAGCCGCGGGAAUACGUAGGGGGCAAGCGUUAUCCGGAUUUACUGGGUGUAAAGGGGGCGCAGACGGCAGCGCAAGCCAGGAGUGAAAGCCCGGGGCCCAACCCCGGGACUGCUCUUGGAACUGCGCGGCUGGAGUGCAGGAGGGGCAGGCGGAAUUCCUAGUGUAGCGGUGAAAUGCAUAGAUAUUAGGAGGAACACCAGUGGCGAAGGCGGCUUGCUGGACAGAGACUGACGUUGAGGCUCGAAAGCGUGGGGAGCAAACAGGAUUAGAUACCCCAGUA
This 447-nucleotide ribosomal RNA is filed under the name uncultured bacterium. RNAcentral describes it as "partial 16S ribosomal RNA". It matches the Rfam family "Bacterial small subunit ribosomal RNA", at positions 329 to 792 of the family's 1533-position model. The record is from RNAcentral.